GCGGGAGUAGCUAAGCCUGGCCAAAAGCGCAGGACUUAAGAUCCUGUCUCGAAGGAGUCCGGGGGUUCAAAUCCCCUCUCCCGCA
RNAcentral lists this transfer RNA (85 nucleotides) under Methanobacteriota archaeon. RNAcentral describes it as "Euryarchaeota archaeon tRNA-Leu". It matches the Rfam family "tRNA". From Rfam's summary of the family: Transfer RNA (tRNA) molecules are approximately 80 nucleotides in length. Lineage: Archaea; Methanobacteriati; Methanobacteriota. The record is from RNAcentral.